This 148-nucleotide non-coding RNA is filed under the name chicken gut metagenome. RNAcentral's name for it is "glmS glucosamine-6-phosphate activated ribozyme". It matches the Rfam family "glmS glucosamine-6-phosphate activated ribozyme aptamer". From Rfam's summary of the family: This entry contains a glucosamine-6-phosphate activated ribozyme that is found in the mRNA for GlmS. GlmS is an enzyme that uses fructose-6-phosphate and glutamine to generate glucosamine-6-phosphate. The record is from RNAcentral.
UAAAUGUAAGCGCCUGGAAAUAGAAAUACUAUGUUGACGAGGUAGAAACUUAUCGAAAGAUUCGGCGGGUGGUUUCUUGGCAUUUGAUUACUGCCAUAAAUAUUAGUUAAAGCCUGAUAGUAAUAUCAGUAUACAAAGCUAAUAGGGU